AGGGUGUACGGUGAAUGCCCUGGCAUCAGAAGGCGAUGAAGGACGUAGCUAGCUGCGAUAAGCCCCGGGGAGCCGCAAGCAGGCCGUGAUCCGAGGAUGUCCGAAUGGGGAAACCCAGGCGAUGAAUGCCGCCUAUCCUCUGCUGAAUACAUAGGCAGUGAGAAGCCCACGCAGGGAAGUGAAACAUCUCAGUACCUGCAGGAAUAGAAAUCAAUCGAGAUUCCCCCAGUAGUGGCGAGCGAAAAGGGAACAGCCUAAACUGUGCCGAUGUCAAGCCCGUGUGCGUUGUCGGCGUAGUGUUGUAGGCCUUCAUUGGACGGUGAUACGGAGCCGUCGGCGAGUUACAAAUUAGGAUCGUAGCAGAAUAGUCUGGAAAGGCUGACCAUAGAAGGUGACAGUCCUGUAUGUAAAACGACCCUAACUCGUUGAAUGGAGGUCCUGAGUACCACGGGGCCCGAGAAACCUUGUGGGAAUCUGGGACGACCACGUUCCAAGGCUAAAUACUCUCUGAUGACCGAUAGUGAACCAGUACCGUGAGGGAAAGGUGAAAAGAACCCCGGUGAGGGGAGUGAAAUAGAACCUGAAACCGUACACCUACAAGCAGCGAAAGGGCUAUGCCCGCAAGGGAAUGCCUGAUCGUGUGCCUUUUGCUUAAUGAGCCUGCGAGUUAUUUAGCGUAGCAAGGUUAAGGCGAAGAGCCGGAGCCGUAGCGAAAGCGAGUCCGAAUUGGGCAUUGAGUUGCGCUGAAUAGACCCGAAGCGAAGUGAUCUACCCAUGGCCAAGGCGAAUCCGCCGUAACAGGCGGAGGAGGCCUGAACUGAUGUUAGUUGCAAAUGGCUCGGAUGAGCUGUGGGUAGGGGUGAAAGGCUAAUCAAACUUCGUGAUUGCUGGUUCUCCCCGAAAUAACUAGAGGGUUAGCCUCGUUUCAGCCGUGACGGAGGUAGAGCACUGAAUGAGCUAGGGGCGUUCCAACGCUACCGAACUCAAUCAAACUCCGAAUGCCGUUACUGGACGAACGGGAGUUAGACUACGAGUGCUAAGAUCCGUGGUCAAAAGGGAAAUAGCCCAGACCGUCAGCUAAGGUCCCUAAUCGUGAGCUAAGUGGAAAAGGUUGUAAGAUCGCUCAGACAGCCAGGAGGUUGGCUUAGAAGCAGCCAUCCUUUAAAGAGUGCGUAAUAGCUCACUGGUCGAGCGAUUUUGCGCCGAAAAUGUAACGGGGCUCAAGUUCACAACCGAAGCUACGGACUUGCAUCGCAAGAUGUGAGUGGUAGGGGAGCAUUCUCUGUGCGGUGAAGGUUGACCGACAAGGACAACUGGAGCGCAGAGAAGAGAUUAUGCAGGCAUAAGUAGCGAUAAACGAUGUGAGAAUCAUCGUCCCCGUAAGCCUAAGGUUUCCUGGCCUAUGUUCGUCAGGUCAGGGUGAGUCGGAUCCUAAGCCGAGGUCGACAGACGUAGGCGAUGGCAAACAGGUCAAUAUUCCUGUACCACCGUAUUGACGUUAUCAGCGAAGGGGGGACGCAGAAGGGUAGGCACCGCCGGGUCCCUGGAAUACCCGGUCCAAGCAUGUAGGCGGGAACUGUAGGCAAAUCCGCGGUUCCGUUAACGCCGAGAUGUGAUGGGGAGGCCGCAAGGCCAUAAACGGGCUGAUCCCACGCUGCCGAGAAAAGCCUCGUAGCGAGUCAGUACGAUGUCCGUACCGCAAACCGACACAGGUAGGUGGGUGGAAUACACCAAGGGGCGUGAGAGAACACUCCCUAAGGAACUAUGCAAUUUAGCCCCGUAACUUCGGGAGAAGGGGUGCCCUGCGUAAGUGAGGCCGUACAGGCCGAGCUGAACGGGGUUGCAAUAAAGUGGCUCUAGCGACUGUUUACCAAAAACACAGGACUCUGCAAACACGAUAGUGGAUGUAUAGGGUCUGACGCCUGCCCGGUGCUGGAAGGUUAACCGGAGGAGUUAGCCGCAAGGCAAAGCUUUGAAGGGAAGCCCCAGUAAACGGCGGCCGUAACUAUAACGGUCCUAAGGUAGCGAAAUUCCUUGUCGGGUAAGUUCCGACCUGCAUGAAUGGCGUAACGACUGGAGCGCUGUCUCAGGGAGUGACUCAGCGAAUUUGUUGUUCCGGUGAAGAAGCCGGGUGCCCGCAACUAGACGGAAAGACCCUGUGCACCUUUACUACACCUUGACAUUGGGUGUUGGAAGGAUCUGUGUAGGAUAGGUGGGAGGCUGUGAGACUUGGCCGCUAGGUCAGGUGGAGCCGACGUUGAAAUACCACCCUGAUUGUUCUGAUAUUCUAACCUGGCCCUGUGAUCCAGGGCAGAGACAGUGUCUGGCGGGUAGUUUGACUGGGGCGGUCGCCUCCCAAAAGGUAACGGAGGCGCCCAAAGGUUCCCUCAGG
This 2392-nucleotide ribosomal RNA is filed under the name activated sludge metagenome. RNAcentral describes it as "bacterial LSU rRNA". It matches the Rfam family "Bacterial large subunit ribosomal RNA", at positions 14 to 2326 of the family's 2925-position model. The record is from RNAcentral.